Molecule: ribosomal RNA, 633 nt
Filed under: uncultured bacterium
Lineage: Bacteria
Description: bacterial SSU rRNA
Rfam family: Bacterial small subunit ribosomal RNA
Source: RNAcentral
CAUGCAAGUCGGACGGAGCUUAGAGAGCUUGCUUUUUAAGCUUAGUGGCGAACGGGUGAGUAACGCGUGAGUAACCUGCCCUAGAGUGGGGGACAACAGUUGGAAACGACUGCUAAUACCGCAUAAGCCCACAGUACCGCAUGGUACUGAGGGAAAAGGAUUUAUUCGCUUUAGGAUGGACUCGCGUCCAAUUAGCUAGUUGGUGAGGUAACGGCCCACCAAGGCGACGAUUGGUAGCCGGACUGAGAGGUUGAACGGCCACAUUGGGACUGAGACACGGCCCAGACUCCUACGGGAGGCAGCAGUGGGGGAUAUUGCACAAUGGGGGAAACCCUGAUGCAGCGACGCCGCGUGGAGGAAGAAGGUUUUCGGAUUGUAAACUCCUGUCGUUAGGGACGAUAAUGACGGUACCUAACAAGAAAGCACCGGCUAACUACGUGCCAGCAGCCGCGGUAAAACGUAGGGUGCAAGCGUUGUCCGGAAUUACUGGGUGUAAAGGGAGCGCAGGCGGGAAGACAAGUUGGAAGUGAAAACCAUGGGCUCAACCCAUGAAUUGCUUUCAAAACUGUUUUUCUUGAGUAGUGCAGAGGUAGAUGGAAUUCCCGGUGUAGCGGUGGAAUGCGUAGAUAUCGG